RNAcentral lists this long non-coding RNA (618 nucleotides) under Homo sapiens (human). RNAcentral describes it as "long non-coding RNA NONHSAT248648". The record is from RNAcentral. Lineage: Eukaryota; Metazoa; Chordata; Mammalia; Primates; Hominidae.
ACUUUUCAUGUCACUCCCCUCUUAUGAUGUGGGAAAGGCAGUGACAUCUGCUUAAAAUCAUCACUAAUACCCUUAUGUUAUAAUGAAGCAUAUUUUCAAAGCGUGUCGUUACCAUUUUUAUCAGCAUAGCUUUUCCUUGGUUCCAUGUUCUAUGUCUACAACUCAGAAGGGAAAGAAAGGCACAUGUUUCAGCCCCACAUGGGGUCAGGAGAGACUGUUAUGACUGAGUCCUGAGCUGCUGUUGCCUGGAGUCACACCAUUUUCCUAAUUUUUAGUUCCUGCGGUAAAAGUCUUGUCCUUAACAGCAGCGGGGGCUGUGUGAGGAAAAUCAAUCAGGGAAACUGUUUUAAAAGGUUUUAAAUGAUUACCAGAGCAUAGUAUAAUCACUUCAGGAACCAAGACAACAAUUUGACAAGUGAAAAACUCCCCAAAUUCCACUGGCUUGCCUGAAAGCCUGUUACAAAAAAACAAACAUCUGACAAAUCAAUCAAUCUAGCUUAAACAUCCAAACAGAGGGCUUUGUCACUGAGUGAGGGAGAAGCAGCAUGAGAUGACUGGGUGGGUUUUCCACCAAAUGGACAUCCAGAAGAGACAACUUAAAUCUUGAGCUGUUUGGGA